Leopardus geoffroyi (Geoffroy's cat) is the source of this 91-nucleotide small nucleolar RNA. NCBI's taxonomy places the organism in Eukaryota, Metazoa, Chordata, Mammalia, Carnivora, Felidae. The record is from RefSeq and is a predicted model, not a curated record.
GGGCUCCCGUGAUGUCCGGCACUGGGCUCUGAUCGCCCCUGAGGAUUCAGUGCGCCACAGGACCUUUGACACCUGGGGAUCUGAGGAGCCC